Molecule: non-coding RNA, 72 nt
Organism: Stomoxys calcitrans (stable fly)
Lineage: Eukaryota; Metazoa; Arthropoda; Insecta; Diptera; Muscidae
Source: the annotation of a RefSeq genome assembly
GUCAGGAUGGCCGAGUAUCUAAGGCGCCAGACUCAAGCUCUGGUGGCGUGGGUUCAAAUCCCACUCUUGACA